Molecule: ribosomal RNA, 570 nt
Filed under: Candida tropicalis
Lineage: Eukaryota; Fungi; Ascomycota; Pichiomycetes; Serinales; Debaryomycetaceae
Description: eukaryotic LSU rRNA
Rfam family: Eukaryotic large subunit ribosomal RNA
Source: RNAcentral
AAACCAACAGGGAUNGCCUUAGUAGCGGCGAGNGAAGCGGCAAAAGCUCAAAUUUGAAAUCUGGCUCUUUCAGAGUCCGAGUUGUAAUUUGAAGAAGGUAUCUUUGGGUCUGGCUCUUGUCUAUGUUUCUUGGAACAGAACGUCACAGAGGGUGAGAAUCCCGUGCGAUGAGAUGAUCCAGGCCUAUGUAAAGUUCCUUCGAAGAGUCGAGUUGUUUGGGAAUGCAGCUCUAAGUGGGUGGUAAAUUCCAUCUAAAGCUAAAUAUUGGCGAGAGACCGAUAGCGAACAAGUACAGUGAUGGAAAGAUGAAAAGAACUUUGAAAAGAGAGUGAAAAAGUACGUGAAAUUGUUGAAAGGGAAGGGCUUGAGAUCAGACUUGGUAUUUUGUAUGUUACUUCUUCGGGGGUGGCCUCUACAGUUUAUCGGGCCAGCAUCAGUUUGGGCGGUAGGAGAAUUGCGUUGGAAUGUGGCACGGCUUCGGUUGUGUGUUAUAGCCUUCGUCGAUACUGCCAGCCUAGACUGAGGACUGCGGUUUAUACCUAGGAUGUUGGCAUAAUGAUCUUAAGUCGC